AACGGUAGCAGGCCUGCACCUUCGUGGGUUUUGAGAUUGAGGGAUGGGUGAUUAUUUGGGAGGAGUUUCACUUUUACUUUAGUUUUUAGAAUUCAGGAAGGUGCAGGUGCUGACGAGUGGCGGACGGGUGAGUAAUGCGUAGGAACUUGCCUUUCAGAGAGGGAUAACCCGGGGAAACUCGGGCUAAUACCACAUAAAGUUGGGAGACCAAAGCAGGGGACCUUCGGGCCUUGCGCUGAAAGAGAGGCUUACGUCGGAUUAGCUAGUUGGUGGGGUAAAGGCCUACCAAGGCGAUGAUCCGUAGCUGGUCUGAGAGGACGAUCAGCCACACUGGGACUGAGACACGGCCCAGACUCCUACGGGAGGCAGCAGUGGGGAAUUUUGGACAAUGGGGGCAACCCUGAUCCAGCAAUACCGCGUGUGUGAAGAAGGCCUGCGGGUUGUAAAGCACUUUAGGUGGGGAGGAAAGGGAGUAGGUUAAUAACCUAUUUCAUUGACGUUACCCACAGAAUAAGCACCGGCUAACUCUGUGCCAGCAGCCGCGGUAAUACAGAGGGUGCGAGCGUUAAUCGGAAUUAUUGGGCGUAAAGGGCAUGUAGGUGGUUUCAUAAGUCUGAUGUGAAAGCCCCGGGCUUAACCUGAGAAAGUCGUUAGAUACUGUGAGACUCGAGUCGGAGAGAGGGUAGUGGAAUUUCCGGUGUAGCGGUGAAAUGCGUAAUAUCGGAAAGAACAUCAGUGGCGAAGGCGGCUACCUGGUUCCAGACUGACACUGAGGUGCGAAAGCG
This 785-nucleotide ribosomal RNA is filed under the name uncultured bacterium. RNAcentral describes it as "bacterial SSU rRNA". It matches the Rfam family "Bacterial small subunit ribosomal RNA", at positions 65 to 761 of the family's 1533-position model. The record is from RNAcentral.